This 255-nucleotide unclassified non-coding RNA is filed under the name Hevea brasiliensis (rubber tree). The record is from RNAcentral. Lineage: Eukaryota; Viridiplantae; Streptophyta; Magnoliopsida; Malpighiales; Euphorbiaceae.
GUGGAAGCGCUAUUGAUCCCGCCGGAGAAGCUUCGCGCCUUGAUGAUCGAGGAACCUGAACUCGGCGAACGGAUCAUGCAUGCGCUCAUCUUGCGCCGCGUCGUGCUGAUCGAGGCCGGUAGCGGUGGUCCGGUCCUGAUCGGCUCUGAGUCAAGUCCGGAUGUGGUGCGCCUGCAGGGCUUUCUUGCCCGCAACGCCUAUCCGCACCAAUUGCUAGACCCGGCAAAGGACGACGAUGCGGCGAGGCUGGUUCAG